RNAcentral lists this ribosomal RNA (253 nucleotides) under uncultured bacterium. Its description in RNAcentral is "partial 16S ribosomal RNA". It matches the Rfam family "Bacterial small subunit ribosomal RNA", at positions 524 to 776 of the family's 1533-position model. The record is from RNAcentral.
UACGGGGGGGGCAAGCGUUGUUCGGAAUUACUGGGCGUAAAGGGCUCGUAGGCGGCCAACUAAGUCAGACGUGAAAUCCCUCGGCUUAACCGGGGAACUGCAUCUGAUACUGGAUGGCUUGAGUUUGGGAGAGGGAUGCGGAAUUCCAGGUGUAGCGGUGAAAUGCGUAGAUAUCUGGAGGAACACCCGUGGCGAAAGCGGCGAGCUGGAUCACUACUGACGCUGAGGAACGAAAGCUAGGGGAGCAAACAGG